GAUGAACGCUGGCGGCGUGCCUAAUACAUGCAAGUCGAGCGAACGGACGAGAAGCUUGCUUCUCUGAUGUUAGCGGCGGACGGGUGAGUAACACGUGGAUCACCUACCUAUAAGACUGGGAUCACUUCGGGAAACCGGCGCUAAUACCUGAUGAUAUUUUGAACCGCAUGGUUCAAAAGUGAAAGACGGUCUUGCUGUCACUUAUAGAUGGAUCCGCGCUGCAUUAGCUAGUUGGUAAGGUAACGGCUUACCAAGGCAACGAUGCAUAGCCGACCGGAGAGGGGGAUAGGCGACACGAGAACUGAGACGGGGUCCAGAGUCCUACGGGAGGCAGCAGAAGGGAAUCUUCAGCAAUGGGCGAAAGCCUGACGGAGCAACGCCGCGUGAGUGAUGAAGAUCUUCGGAUCGUAAAACUCUGUUAUGAGGGAAGAACAGAUGUGUAAGUAACUGUGCACAGCGUGACGGUACCUAAUCAGAAAGCCACGGCUAACUACGUG
RNAcentral lists this ribosomal RNA (497 nucleotides) under uncultured bacterium. RNAcentral describes it as "partial 16S ribosomal RNA". It matches the Rfam family "Bacterial small subunit ribosomal RNA", at positions 28 to 507 of the family's 1533-position model. The record is from RNAcentral.